GGCUCAGGAUGAACGCUAGCUACAGGCUUAACACAUGCAAGUCGAGGGGCAGCAUGAACUUAGCUUGCUAAGUUUGAUGGCGACCGGCGCACGGGUGAGUAACACGUAUCCAACCUUCCGUACACUCAGGGAUAGCCUUUCGAAAAGAAAGAUUAAUACCUGAUGGUAUCUUAAGCACACAUGUAAUUAAGAUUAAAGAUUUAUCGGUGUACGAUGGGGAUGCGUUCCAUUAGGUAGUAGGCGGGGUAACGGCCCACCUAGCCAACGAUGGAUAGGGGGUUCUGAGAGGAAGGUCCCCCACAUUGGAACUGAGACACGGUCCAAACUCCUACGGGAGGCAGCAGUGAGGAAUAUUGGUCAAUGGACGAGAGUCUGAACCAGCCAAGUAGCGUGAAGGAUGAAGGUCCUACGGAUUGUAAACUUCUUUUAUAAGGGAAUAAACCCUCCCACGUGUGGGAGCUUGUAUGUACCUUAUGAAUAAGCAUCGGCUAACUCCGUG
This 499-nucleotide ribosomal RNA is filed under the name uncultured bacterium. RNAcentral's name for it is "bacterial SSU rRNA". It matches the Rfam family "Bacterial small subunit ribosomal RNA", at positions 21 to 507 of the family's 1533-position model. The record is from RNAcentral.